UCCACGGAAUACUUCCCAGCCUACAAUAUGGA
RNAcentral lists this non-coding RNA (32 nucleotides) under Mus musculus (house mouse). Lineage: Eukaryota; Metazoa; Chordata; Mammalia; Rodentia; Muridae. The record is from RNAcentral.